AGAGUUUGAUCCUGGCUCAGGAUGAACGCUGGCGGCGUGCUUAACACAUGCAAGUCGAGCGAGAUUCAACCGGUGGCAACACCGGGGAAGAUCGAGCGGCGAACGGGUGAGUAACACGUGAGUAACCUGCCCUUAACUCUGGGAUAAGCCUGGGAAACUGGGUCUAAUACCGGAUAUGACUCCUCAUCGCAUGGUGGGGGGUGGAAAGCUUUAUUGUGGUUUUGGAUGGACUCGCGGCCUAUCAGCUUGUUGGUGAGGUAAUGGCUCACCAAGGCGACGACGGGUAGCCGGCCUGAGAGGGUGACCGGCCACACUGGGACUGAGACACGGCCCAGACUCCUACGGGAGGCAGCAGUGGGGAAUAUUGCACAAUGGGCGAAAGCCUGAUGCAGCGACGCCGCGUGAGGGACGAAGGCCCUUGGGUCGUAAACCCCUGUUGCGAGGGAAGAAGUACCCACCGGGAGAGCCGGUGGGGAAGACGGUACCUCGCGAGGAAGCACCGGCUAACUACGUGCCAGCAGCCGCGGUAAUACGUAGGGUGCAAGCGUUAUCCGGAUUUAUUGGGCGUAAAGGGCGCGCAGGCGGCUACCAGCAGUGGCCCGUGGAAUCUCUCCGCUCAACGGAGAGAGGCCGGGCCAAACGGGGUGGCUUGGGGCAGGCAGAGGCAUGCAGAACGGGCGGAGUAGGGGUGAAAUCCGUAGAGACCGUCCGGAAUACCAGUGGCGAAGGCGGCAUGCUGGGCCUGAAGCCGUAAGGCUGAACCCGACGCUCGGGCGCGAAAGCGUGGGGAGCGAGCGGAAUUAGAUACCCCCGUAGUCC
This 819-nucleotide ribosomal RNA is filed under the name uncultured Arthrobacter sp. RNAcentral describes it as "bacterial SSU rRNA". It matches the Rfam family "Bacterial small subunit ribosomal RNA", at positions 8 to 796 of the family's 1533-position model. Lineage: Bacteria; Bacillati; Actinomycetota; Actinomycetes; Micrococcales; Micrococcaceae. The record is from RNAcentral.